This 493-nucleotide ribosomal RNA is filed under the name uncultured bacterium. Its description in RNAcentral is "partial 16S ribosomal RNA". It matches the Rfam family "Bacterial small subunit ribosomal RNA", at positions 29 to 508 of the family's 1533-position model. The record is from RNAcentral.
AGUGAACGCUGGCGGUAGGCCUAACACAUGCAAGUCGAACGGCAGCACAGUAAGAGCUUGCUCUUACGGGUGGCGAGUGGCGGACGGGUGAGGAAUACAUCGGAAUCUACUUUUUCGUGGGGGAUAACGUAGGGAAACUUACGCUAAUACCGCAUACGACCUACGGGUGAAAGCAGGGGAUCUUCGGACCUUUCGCGAUUGAAUGAGCCGAUGUCGGAUUAGCUAGUUGGCGGGGUAAAGGCCCACCAGGGCGACGAUCCGUAGCUGGUCUGAGAGGAUGAUCAGCCAACCUGGAAAUGGGACACGGGCCAGACUCCUACGGGAGGCAGCAGUGGGGAAUAUUGGACAAUGGGCGCAAGCCUGAUCCAGCCAUACCGCGUGGGUGAAGAAGGCCUUCGGGUUGUAAAGCCCUUUUGUUGGGAAAGAAAAGCAGCAGGUUAAUACCCCGCUGUUCUGACGGUAACCAAAGAAUAAGCACCGGCUAACUUCGUGC